Molecule: ribosomal RNA, 675 nt
Filed under: Massilia suwonensis
Lineage: Bacteria; Pseudomonadati; Pseudomonadota; Betaproteobacteria; Burkholderiales; Oxalobacteraceae
Description: bacterial SSU rRNA
Rfam family: Bacterial small subunit ribosomal RNA
Source: RNAcentral
AGCGGCCGAUUUCUGAUUAGCUAGUUGGUGAGGUAAAGGCUCACCAAGGCGACGAUCAGUAGCUGGUCUGAGAGGACGACCAGCCACACUGGAACUGAGACACGGUCCAGACUCCUACGGGAGGCAGCAGUGGGGAAUUUUGGACAAUGGGCGCAAGCCUGAUCCAGCAAUGCCGCGUGAGUGAAGAAGGCCUUCGGGUUGUAAAGCUCUUUUGUCAGGGAAGAAACGGUAGGGGCUAAUAUCCUUUGCUAAUGACGGUACCUGAAGAAUAAGCACCGGCUAACUACGUGCCAGCAGCCGCGGUAAUACGUAGGGUGCAAGCGUUAAUCGGAAUUACUGGGCGUAAAGCGUGCGCAGGCGGUUUUGUAAGUCUGUCGUGAAAGCCCCGGGCUCAACCUGGGAAUUGCGAUGGAGACUGCAAGGCUUGAAUCUGGCAGAGGGGGGUAGAAUUCCACGUGUAGCAGUGAAAUGCGUAGAGAUGUGGAGGAACACCGAUGGCGAAGGCAGCCCCCUGGGUCAAGAUUGACGCUCAUGCACGAAAGCGUGGGGAGCAAACAGGAUUAGAUACCCUGGUAGUCCACGCCCUAAACGAUGUCUACUAGUUGUCGGGUUUUAAUUAACUUGGUAACGCAGCUAACGCGUGAAGUAGACCGCCUGGGAGUACGGUCGCAAGAU